UUGACAUAAACAACAUUACUUACAGUCCGCCAGAGGAUUACAAGUGAAAAACUUAAAACUCCAAGGACUUGACGGUGUUCCACCCUACUAGAGGAGCCUGUCCUACAAUCGAUACCCCACGCUUUACCUUACCCCCCCUAGUUCAGUCUAUAUACCGCCGUCGUCAGCUUACACUAUGAACGCACCAACGUAAGCUAAAUAAUCUUACAUUAAAACGACAGGUCAAGGUGUAACUAAUGGGGGGGCAGAGAUGGGCUACAUUUUCUACGUAGAAAAUCACCACCCGCAGUAUGAAACUGCCCACAGGAGGAUUUAGAAGUAAAAUCGGCAAGCACGCCAAUUUGAAGCCCUGGAACGC
This 358-nucleotide ribosomal RNA is filed under the name Pristurus insignis. RNAcentral's name for it is "partial 12S ribosomal RNA". It matches the Rfam family "Bacterial small subunit ribosomal RNA", at positions 843 to 1382 of the family's 1533-position model. Lineage: Eukaryota; Metazoa; Chordata; Lepidosauria; Squamata; Sphaerodactylidae. The record is from RNAcentral.